Long non-coding RNA from Rhagoletis pomonella (apple maggot), 282 nucleotides. RefSeq lists it as uncharacterized. NCBI's taxonomy places the organism in Eukaryota, Metazoa, Arthropoda, Insecta, Diptera, Tephritidae. The transcript has 3 exons. The record is from RefSeq and is a predicted model, not a curated record.
UUGUGAAAUGACUAUUAAUUACAAGCACAGCAUCAUCAACGGUGAUUGCAAGAACUACUGCAAUCCCUGCGGUUUUUCCUCUUGGUAAAUGCGUUCUGGUCGUGACCAAGGGUGGUCUCCCAAAUCGGCCGGGAAUAAGGCUAUUGUUGCAGAACAAAACGCUGCAACCACUGCUGUGGUAAAUAUGUUCCAGCAGAACUGCCCACCGCCGUCGGUGUAAUGAUUUCGAUAGCUGAACAAACGCCAUCUCCUGGCGUGUGAAUGCAACUGCGGCUAAAUUUG